UACGUAGGGUGCAAGCGUUAUCCGGAAUUACUGGGCGUAAAGGGUGAGUAGGCGGUUAAUUAAGUCAUAUGUGAAAAUCCAGGGCUCAACUCUGGACUUGCAUAAGAAACUGGUAAACUGGAGUGCAGGAGAGGUAAGUGGAAUUCCUAGUGUAGCGGUGAAAUGCGUAGAGAUUAGGAAGAACACCAGUGGCGAAGGCGACUUACUGGACUGUAACUGACGCUGAGUCACGAAAGCGUGGGGAGCGAACAGG
Molecule: ribosomal RNA, 253 nt
Filed under: uncultured bacterium
Lineage: Bacteria
Description: partial 16S ribosomal RNA
Rfam family: Bacterial small subunit ribosomal RNA
Source: RNAcentral